ACGGAGACGGCGAGGAGCGCAGGAGCGGAGGCGGGAUCGAGAGCGAGGACAUGGUCAGGAGCGGGGCAUUGCGCGGGGCGAGCGGGCGAGCGUGGCUUGGAUCUUGAGGGGAGGGGAGGCUGCUGGGUGGUGCUUACGUCGGCGGCGGAGUGGGGGCGGGGCGGGCGNCGGGGCGGGGCGGGGGGAGGGCCGGGGGAGCUGACGGGAGUGGAGGGGGACGAAGCUCCCAGCACAGCCUGGCCGCGCGCCCCGCGUGCGUGACGUGACGUGAUGGACUCGUGCACAGCCACUUCGCCCGGAGCAGAAAUAGGUGGUGCCACGGCGACGAGCACACCGGCUCAAAAAAAAGAAAGGCGGGUGUGGAUUUUAUUCUUUUACUAAUGUGUCACAUAUGUCAUUGCUAAUGAUGGUGAUUCACACACUCCCCUCACCCCUCCCCGCGUCGUCUCCUCUAAGGCGAUAACCCUAGCCGUCGUCGUCGCGCCCCUCCCCCCCCCUCCAUCCCCUCCCCCNNNNNNNNNNNNNNNNNNNNNNNNNNNNNNNNNNNNNNNNNNNNNNNNNNNNNNNNNNNNNNNNNNNNNNNNNNNNNNNNNNNNNNNNNNNNNNNNNNNNNNNNNNNNNNNNNNNNNNNNNNNNNNNNNNNNNNNNNNNNNNNNNNNNNNNNNNNNNNNNNNNNNNNNNNNNNNNNNNNNNNNNNNNNNNNNNNNNNNNNNNNNNNNNNNNNNNNNNNNNNNNNNNNNNNNNNNNNNNNNNNNNNNNNNNNNNNNNNNNNNNNNNNNNNNNNNNNNNNNNNNNNNNNNNNNNNNNNNNNCCUCCCCCUCCGUCGCCGCCUGAGGUGUGCUCCGGUGAGCGCGCUCCACACCGAUGAAGGUGGCGGCGAGGAUCUGGCGGUUCCACAACACGCAGAGGGCCUCGGCAUCUCGGGUGGUGACCACGGGUGGCGUGUGCAAGGUGGACAUGGCGGCGGGGUCGCCUCUGUUGGUGCUAGUGUUGGGGCGCCCUUGGUCAUGCGGGUGACGAGGCGUCGGCGACCCUCGGUUGCUGGUGUGCACCACUCCCCGCAGGUUUGCCACCGCCGAGGAAGCCCACCCCCUCCACCUCGAUCUGCUCCUUCCAACACCGGAUCGGGGUCCUAGUGGCUUAGGUCGCUGCUCCCGGUUGCUGGUUGUGCGGAUCUCGUUUGGUGGGGGAACCCGUGCCGACGCGGCGGCCACACCAAAGGCGACGCCUUGGGCACCGUUCCCCUCAUUGGAGGUUGUGGUGUGGAUCCUCUCCCCCUCCUUUCGUCCCCUGCUAGGUGAAAACUUAGGUCCCCUGCUUUGGGUGGUGACGGCACGUCUGUGUCGUAUUUCUUCUGUUGGAAAUAUGCCCUNNNNNNNNNNNNNNNNNNNNNNNNNNNNNNNNNNNNNNNNNNNNNNNNNNNNNNNNNNNNNNNNNNNNNNNNNNNNNNNNNNNNNNNNNNNNNNNNNNNNNNNNNNNNNNNNNNNNNNNNNNNNNNNNNNNNNNNNNNNNNNNNNNNNNNNNNNNNNNNNNNNNNNNNNNNNNNNNNNNNNNNNNNNNNNNNNNNNNNNNNNNNNNNNNNNNNNNNNNNNNNNNNNNNNNNNNNNNNNNNNNNNNNNNNNNNNNNNNNNNNNNNNNNNNNNNNNNNNNNNNNNNNNNNNNNNNNNNNNNNNNNNNNNNNNNNNNNNNNNNNNNNNNNNNNNNNNNNNNNNNNNNNNNNNNNNNNGUCCCUAGCAAGCCUCUAGUUGGCUAGCUAGUUGAUCAAGGAUGGUCAAGGUUUUUUGACCAUAUGCAAGUGUUAUCACUUGAUAACUGGAUCACAUCAUUAGGAGAAUCAUGUGAUGGACUAGACCCAAACUAUAAACGUAGCAUAUGAUCGUGUCAUUUUGUUGCUAUCGUUUUCUGCGUGUCAAGUAUUUAUUCCUAUGACCAUGAGAUCAUAUAACUCACUGACACCGGAGGAAUACCUUGUGUGUAUCAAACGUCGGAACGUAACUGAGUGACUAUACAGGUGCUCUACAGGUAUCUCCGAAGGUGUCCGUUGAGUUAGUAUGGAUCAAGAAUGGGAUUUGUCACUCCGUGUGACGGAGAGGUAUCUCGGGGCCCACUUGGUAAUACAACAUCACAAACAAGUCUUGCAAGCAAUGUGACUAAGUGUAAGUCACGAGAUCUUGUAUUACGGAACGAGUAAAGGGAAUUGCUGGUAACGAGAUUGAAAUAGGUAUACGGAUACCGACGAUCGAAUCUCAGGCAAGUAACAUACCGAAUGACAAAGGGAAUGACAUACGGGAUUAUAUGAAUCCCUGGCAUUGAGGUUCAACCGAUAAGAUCUUCGGAGAAUAUGUAGGAUCCAAUAUGGGCAUACAGGAACCGCUAUUGGAUAUUGACCGAGGAGUGUCUCGGGUCAUGUCUACAUAGUUCUCGAACCCGCAGGGUUUGCACACUUAAGGUUCGAUGAUGUUUUAGUAUAGUUGAGUUAUAUGUGUGGUUGCCGAAUGUUGUUCGGAGUCCCGGAUGAGAUCACAGACAUCACGAGGGUUUCCGGAAUGGUCCGGAAACGAAGAAUGAUAUAUAGGAUGGUUUCAUUUGGUCACCAAAAAGUUUCGGGCAUUACCAGCAGUGUACAGGGAGUGACGAAUGGGUUCCGGGUAUUCACCGGGAGGGGCCCACCCACCCGGGAGUGAGCCCAAUGACCCUAGGGUGGCGCACCAGCCCUUAGUGGGCUGGUGAGGCCAUCCCAAUAGGGCGAUGGUGCCACAAGUGGAAAAACACCAAAGGAAAGGGGGGAAAAGGAAAGAGGGAGGUGGGAAGGAAGGAGUGGACUCAUUCCCCCAAACCGAAUUAGAGUGGGAGUCCACCUCCUCCCCUUUGGUCGGCGCACCUUGGGGCUCCUUGAGCCCCAAGGCUAGCCCCUCCCCUCCUCCUAUAUAUACUGGUGGUUUUAAGGCUUUUGAGACACAACUUUGCCACGUGCAACUCAAAUCUAUACCACGUAGUUUUACCUCUAUAUCGGAUUUCUACGGAGCUCGGGCGGAGCCCUGCAGGAGUAGAUCAUCACCACCACCGGAGAGCUGCCACACUGCCGGAGAACUCAUCUACUUCUCCAUCUCUCUUGCUGGAUCAAGAAGGCCGAGAUCGUCAUCGAGCUGUACGUGUGCUGAAUGCGGAGGUGCCGUCCGUUUGGCGCUAGAUCGAAACAGAUCAUGGGACGGAUCGUGGGACGACGGUGAUUUGAAUCACGAAGCUAUACCACUACAUCAACCACGUUUCUUAACGCUUCCCGCUUAGCGAUCUACAAGGGUACGUAGAUCUAAUCUCCUCUUGUAGAUGGACAUCACCAUGAUAGGUCUUCGUGUGCGUAGGAAAAUUUUUGUUUCGCAUGCAACGUUCCCCAACAAUGGCAUCAUGAGCUAGGUUCAUGCGUAGAUGUUAUCUCGAGUAGAACACAAAAGGUUUUGUGGAUGUUGAUGUUCGAUUUGCUGCCCUCCUUAUUCUUUUCUUGAUUUCGUGGUAUUGUUGGAUUGAAGCGGCCCGGACCGACAUUACUCGUAUGCUUACGAGAGACUGGUUUCAUCGACUCACAUGCAACUCGUUGCAUAAAGAUGACUAGCGGGUGUCGGUUUCUUCAACUUUAGUUGAAUUGGUUUUAACCGAGGCGGUCCUUGGAGAGAGGUUAAAUAGCAAUUUGCACAUCUCCGUUGUGGUUUUUGCGUAAGUAAGAUGCGAUCAUACUAGAUACCUAUAGCAGCCACGUAAAACAUGCAACAACAAAUUAGAGGACGUCUAACUUGUUUUUGCAGGGUAUGCUUGUGAUAUGAUAUGGCCAAUGACGUGAUGUGAUAUAUUGGAUGUAUGAGAUGAUCAUGUUGUAAUAGUUAAUAUCGACUUCCACGUCGAUGCUACGACAACCGACAGGAGCUAUAGGGUUGUCUUUAAACUAACAUUUGUGUUUGCAGAUGCGUUUACUAUAUUGCUAGGUCGUAGCUUUAGUAGUAAUAGCAUAGAUAGCAUGACAACUUCGAUGGCGGCACGAUGAUGGAGAUCAUGAUGAUGGAUAUCAUGGUGUGGCGCCGGUGACAAGAAGAUUAUGUCGGUGCUUUGGUGAUGGAGAUCAAGAAGCACAAGAUGAGGCCAUAUCAUGUCACUUAUGAAUUGCAUGUGAUGUUAAUCCUUUUAUGCACCUUAUUUUGCAUAGAACGACGGUAGCAUUAUAAGGUGAUCUCUCACUAAAAUUUCAAGAUGAAAUUGUGUUCUCCCCGACUGUGCACCGUGGCGACAAUUCGUCGUUUCGAGACACCACGUGAUGAUCGGGUGUGAUCGACUCAACGUUCACAUACAACGGGUCCAAAACAGUUGCACACGUGGAACACUCGUGUUAAACUUGACGAGCCUAGCAUGUGCAGACAUGGCCUCGGAACACAUGAGACCGAAAGGUCGAGCAUGAAUCGUAUAGUUGAUAUGAUCAGCAUAGAGAUGCUUACCACUAAAACUAUUCUCAACUCACGUGAUGCUCGGACUUGAGUUAGUGAAUUUGGAUCAUGUACCACUCAAAUGACUAGAGAUAUGUAAUUUUUGAGUGGGAGUUUAUUAGUAAUUUGAUUAGUUAAACUCUAAUUAUCUUAAACAUAGUCUAAGUCCACUUUGCAAUAUUUGUGUUGUAGAUCAAUGGCUCACGCAGUAGCAACCCUGAAUUUUAAUACGUUCCUAGAGAAAGCUAAGUUGAAAGAUGAUGGAAGCAACUUUGUAGACUGGGCUCGUAAUCUAAAGCUGCUCCUACAAGCUGGGAAGAAGGAUUGUGUCCUUAAUGCUGCGCUAGGAGAUGAACCACCCGCUACGUCUAGCCAAGAUGUUUUGAACGAGUGGUUAACACGUAAGGAGGACUACUCAGUAGUUCAAUGUGUAGUCUUGUAUGGCUUGGAACCGGGACUUCAACGUCACUUUGAGCGUCAUGGAGCAUAUGAGAUACUAGAGCAGUUGAAGUUUAUCUUUUAGAAGAACGCACAGAUCGAGAGGUAUGAGACCUUCGAUAAAUUAUAUGCUUGCAAGAUGGAGGAGAAUUCGUCUGUUAGUGAACAUGUGCUCAAAAUGUCUGGAUACUCAAACCGUCUAGCUGAGCUGGGGAUUGAACUCCCACAAGAGGCUAUCACUGAUAGAAUUAUUCAAUCACUGCCACCUAGCUAUAAGAGCUUUGUGUUGAACUAUAACAUGCAAGGGAUGAACAAGUCACCUCGCGAGUUAUUCGCGAUGCUGAAAGUCACAGAGUCAGAACUCCGGAAAGAGCAUCAAGUGUUGAUGGUCAAUAAGACCACUGGUUUCAAGAGAAACGACAAAGGCAAGAAGGGUAACUCCAAGAAGAGCGGCAAGCCUGUUGCCAAUCCGACGAAGAAACCCAAGGAUGGACCUAAGCCUGAAACAGAGUGUUACUAUUGCAAGGGAAUGGGUCACUAGAAGCGCAACUGCCCCAAGUAUUUGGCUGAUAAGAAGGCGGCCAAGGAAAAAUCAGGUAUAUUUGAUAUAGAUGUUAUUGAUGUGUACUUAACCAACUCUCGUAGUAGUGCCUGGGUAUUUGAUACGGGUUCUGUUGCUCAUAUUUGCAACUCGAAGCAGGAACUGCGGAAUAAACAAAGGAUGGCGAAAGGACGAAGUGACGAUGCGCGUGGGAAAUGGUUCCAAGGUUUAUGCAAUCGCCGUCGGCAUAGUCUCACUUCAGUUACCAUCAGGAUUAGUUAUGAACUUAAAUAAUUUUUAUUUAGUGCCUGCGUUAAGCAUGAACAUUAUAUAUGGAUCUUGUUUAUUGCGAGACGGUUACUCGUUUAAGUCAGAGAAUAAUGGUUGUUCUAUUUCUAUGAGUAAUAUCUUUUAUGGUCAUGCACCCAAUGUGUGACGAUUGUUCAUAUUGAAUCUUGAUAGCAAUGAUACACAUAUACAUAACAUUGAGACCAAAAGAUGUAGAGUUAACAAUGAUAGCGCCAUGUUUUUGUGGCACUGCCGCUUAGGUCAUAUUUGUGUAAAGCGCAUGAAGAAACUCCAUUCCGAUGGGCUUUUGGAGUCACUUGAUUUUGAAUCACUUGACACGUGCGAACCAUGCCUCAUGGGCAAGAUGACUAAGACUCCGUUCUCCGGAACAAUGGAGCGUGCAAGUGACUUGCUGGAAAUCAUACAUACCGAUGUGUGCGGUCCGAUGAGUGUGGAGGCGCGCGGCGGAUAUCGUUAUUUUCUCACCUUCACUGACGAUUUGAGUAGGUAUGGAUAUAUCUACUUGAUGAAGCACAAGUCUGAAACGUUUUAGAAGUUCAAGGAAUUUCAGAGUGAAGUUGAAAAUCAUCGUAACAAGAAGAUCAAGUUCCUACGUUCUGAUCGUGGGGGUGAAUAUCUGAGUUUCGAGUUUGGUGCUCACCUAAGACAAUGUGGAAUUGUUUCACAGUCAACACCGCCUGGAACACCACAACGUAAUGGUGUGUCCGAACGUCGUAAUCGUACUUUGUUAGAAAUGGUGCGACCUAUGAUGUCUCUUACCGAUUUGCCGUUAUCGUUUUGGGGUUAUGCAUUAGAGACAACUGCAUUCACUUUAAAUAGGGCACCAUCAAAAUCCGUUGAGACGACACCAUACGAGCUGUAGUAUGGCAAAAGACUAAAGUUGUCGUUUCUUAAAGUUUGGGGAUGUGAUGCUUAUGUCAAAAAACUUCAGCCUGAAAAGCUGGAACCCAAAGCGGAAAAGUGCGUCUUCAUAGGUUACCCAAAGGAGACAGUUGGGUACACCUUCUAUCUCAAAACCGAGGGCAAAGUGUUUGUUGCUAAGAACGGAGCUUUUCUUGAGAAGGAGUUUCUCUCGAAAGAAUUGAGUGGGAGGAAGAUAGAACUUGAUGAGGUUGUCGAACCUCUAAUCCCUCUAGAUGGUGGCACAAGGCAGGGGAACCUUUGUCGAAGCGAUGCCGGUUGAGGAGGAAGUUAAUGAUGAUGAUCAUGAAACUUCGGAUCAAGUUCCUAUCGGACCUCGCAGGUCGACAAGAUCACGUACUACUCCUGAGUGGUACGGUAAUAUUGGCUUAUCAAUCAUGUUGUUAGACAACAAUGAACCUGCGAAUUAUGAAGAAGCAAUGGUGGGCCCGGAUUCCAACAAAUGGCUGGAGGCCAUGAAGUACGAUAUAGGAUCUAUGUAUGAAAACAAAGUGUGGACUUUGGAAGUAUUACCUGAAGGCCGCAAGGCUAUUCAGAACAAAUGGAUCUUUAAGAAGAAGACGGACGCAUACGGUAAUGUGACCGUUUAUAAAGCUCGACUUGUGGCAAAGGGUUUUUCACAAGUUCAAGGAGUUGACUACGAUGAGACAUUCUCACCGGUAGCGAUGCUUAAGUCCGUCGGAAUCAUGUUAGCAAUAGCUACAUAUUUCGAUUAUGAAAUCUGGCAGAUGGAUGUCAAAACGGCGUUCCUUAACGGUUUUCUUAAGGAAGAGUUGUAUAUGAUGCAACACGAAGGUUUUGUCGAUCCAGAGAAUGCUAGCAAAGUAUGCAAGCUCCACCGAUCCAUUUAUGGACUGGUGCAAGCAUCUCGGAGUUGGAAUAAGCGCUUUGAUGAGGUGAUCAAAGCAUUUGGGUUUACACAAGUGGUUGGAGAAUCUUGUAUUUACAAGAAAGUGAGUGGGAGCUUUGUGGCAUUUCUAAUAUUACAUUUAUAUUUGGAUGACAUAUUGCUGAUUGCAAAUGACGUGGGGUUUUUUGGAGAGCGUAAAGGAUUACUUGAAUAAAAGUUUCUCUAUGAAGGACCUAGGAGAAGCUGCUUACAUUCUAGGCAUUAAGAUCUAGAGGGAUAGAUCGAGAUGUCUGAUAGGACUUUCACAAAGCACAUACCUUGAUAAAGUUUUGAAGAAGUUCAAAAUGGAACAGUCCAAGAAGGGGUUCUUGUCAGUGUUACAAGGUAUAAAAUUGAGUAAGACUCAGUGCCCAGCAACUGCGGAAGAUAGAGAACAGAUGAGUUCCGUCCCCUAUGCUUCAGUCAUAGGUUUUGUCAUGUAUGCAAUGUUAUGCACUAGACCGGACGUCAGCUUGGCCAUAAGUAUGGCAGGCAGGUUUCAAAGUAAUCCAGGAGUGGAUCACUGGAUGACGGUCAAUAAUAUUCUGAAGUACCUUAAAAGGACUAAGGAAAUGUUUCUCGUUUAUGGAGGUGACGAAGAGCUCGUCGUAAAGGGUUACGUCGACGCAAGCUUUGACACUAAUCCGGAUGACUCUAAGUCUCAAACCAGAUACAUAUUUAUUCUUAAUGGGGGUGCGGUAAGCUGGUGCAGUUCCAAGCAAAGCAUCAUAGCAGAUUCUACAUGUGAAGCGGAGUACAUGGUUGCCUCAGAGGCAGCUAAGGAGGGUGUCUGGAUGAAGCAGUUCAUGAGGGAUCUUGGAGUUGUGCCGAGCGCACUAAAUCCAAUAACUAUGUUCUGUGACAACACUGGUGCCAUUGCUUUAGCAAAGAAACCAAGGUUUCACAAGAAGACCAGGCACAUCAAACGACGCUUCAACCUCAUCCACGACUACGUCGAAGGAGAGGACGUAAAUAUUUGCAAAGUGCACACGGAUCUGAAUGUAGCAGAUCCGCUGACUAAACCUCUUCCACGGGCAAAACAUGAUCAACACCAGAAAUGUAUGGGUGUUAGAUUUAUUACAAUGUAAAUCGCAUGGCGAUGUGAGGACUAGAUUAUUGACUCUAGUGCAAGUGGGAGACUGUUGGAAAUAUGCCCUAGAGGCAAUGAUAAAAUAGUUAUUACUAUAUUUCCUGUUUUAAGAUAAUCGUUUAUUAUCCAUGCUAUAAUUGUAUUGAAUGAAAACAUAGAUACAUAUGUGGAUACAUAGACAAAACAAUGUCCCUAGCAAGCCUCUACUUGGCUAGCCAGUUGAUGAAGGAUGGUCAAGGUUUUCUGACCAUAUGCAAAUGUUGUCACUUGAUAACUGGAUCACAUCAUUAGGAGAAUCAUGUGAUGGACUAGACCCAAACUAUAAACGUAGCAUGUGAUCGUGUCAUUUUGUUGCUAUUGUUUUCUGUGUGUCAAGUAUUUAUUCCUAUGACCAUGAGAUCAUAUAACUCACUGACACUAGAGGAAUACCUUGUGUGUAUAAAACGUGGCAACGUAACUGGGUGACUAUAAAGGUGCUCUACAAGUAUCUCCGAAGGUGUCUGUUAGUUAGUAUGGAUCAAGACUGGGAUUUGUCACUCCGUGUGACGGAGAGGUAUCUCGGGGCCCACUCGAUAAUACAACAUCACAAACAAGCCUUGAAAGCAAUGUGACUAAGUGUAAGUCACAGGAUCUUGUAUUACGGAACGAGUAAAGAGACUUGCCGGUAACGAGAUUGAAAUAGGUAUACGGAUACCGACGAUCGAAUCUUGGGCAAGUAACAUACGGAAGGACAAAGGGAAUGACAUACGGGAUUAUAUGAAUCCCUGGAACUGAGGUUCAACCGAUAAGAUCUUCGGAGAAUAUGUAGGACCCAAUAUGGGCAUCCAGGUCCCGCUAUUGGAUAUUGACCGAGGAGUGUCUCGGGUCAUGUCUACAUAGUUCUCGAACCCGCAGGGUCUGCACACUUAAGGUUCGAUGAUGUUUUAGUAUAGUUGAGUUAUAUGUGUGGUUGCUGAAUGUUGUUCAGAGUCCCGGAUAAGAUCACAGACGCCACGAGGGUUUCCAGAAUGGUCCGGAAACAAAGAUUGAUAUAUAGGAUGGUUUCAUUUGGUCAUCGGAAAGUUUCGGGCGUUACGACAGUGUACCCGGAGUGACGAAUGGGUUUCGGGUAUUCACUGGGAGGGGCCCACCCACUCGAGAGUGAGCCGAGUGACCCUAGGGUGGUGCACCAGCCCUUAGUGGGCUGGUGAGGCCAGCCCAAUAGGGCCAUGGCACCACAAGUGGAAAAACACCAAAGGAAAGGAAAAAAGGACAGAGGGAGGUGGGAAGGAAGGUGUGGACUCCUUCCCCCAAACCGAAUUGGGGUGGGAGUCCACCUCCUCCCCUUCAAUCGACGCAGCUUGGGGCUCCUUGAUCCCCAAGGCUAGCCCCUCCCCUCCUCCUAUAUAUACUGGUGGUUUUAGGGCUUUUGAGACACAACUUUGCCACCUGCAACUCAAACCUAUACCACAUAGUUUUACCUCUAGAUCGGAUUUCUGCGGAGCUCGGGCGGAGCCGUGCAGGAGUAGAUCAUCACCACCACCAGAGCGCCGUCACGCUGCCGGAGAACUCAUCUACUUCUCCGUCUCUCUUGCUCGAUCAAGAAGGUCGAGAUCGUCAUCGAGCUGUACGUGUGCUGAACACGGAGGUGUCGUCCGUUCGGCGCUAGAUCGGAACGGAUCGUGGGACAGAUCGUGGGAUGACGGUGAUUUGAAUCACGAAGUUGUACCACUACAUCAACCGCAUUUCUUAACGCUUUCUACUUAGCGAUCUACAAGGGUACGUAGAUCUAAUCUCCUCUCGUAGAUGGACAUCACCAUGAUAGGUCUUCGUGUGCGUAGGAAUUUUUUGUUUCCCAUGCAACCUUCCCCAACAGUGGCAUCAUGAGCUAGGUUCAUGCGUAGAUGUUAUCUCGAGUAGAACAAAAGGUUUUGUGGACGUUGAUGUUCGAUUUUCUGCCCUCCUUAGUCUUUUCUCGAUUCGGCAGUAUUGUUGGAUUGAAGCGGCCCGGACCGACAUUACUCGUACGCUUACGAGAGACUGGUUUCAUCGACUGACAUGCAACUCGUUGCAUAAAGAUGACUAGCGGGUGUCGGUUUCUUCAACUUUAGUUGAAUUGGUUUUGACCGAGGCGGUCCUUGGAGAGAGGUUAAAUAGCAAUUUGCACAUCUCCGUUGUGGUUUUUGCGUAAGUAAGAUGCAAUCAUACUACAUACCCAUAGCAGCCACGUAAAACAUGCAACAACAAAUUAGAGGACGUCUAACUUGUUUUUGAAGGGUAUGCUUGUGAUAUGAUAUGGCCAAUGACGUGAUGUAAUAUAUUGGAUGUAUGACAUGAUCAUGUUGUAAAAGUUAAUAUCUACUUGCACGUCGAAUCUACGGUAACCAGCAAAAGCCAUAGGGUUGUCUUUAAACUAAUGUUUGUGUUUGCAGAUGCGUUUACUAUAUUGCUAGGUUGUAGCUUUAGUAGUAAUAGCAUAGAUAUCACGACAACCUCAAUGGCGGCACGAUGAUGGAGAUCAUGAUGAUGGAGAUCAUGGUGUGGCGCCGGUGACAAGAAGAUCAUGUUGGUGCUUUGGUUAUGGAGAUCAAGAAGCACAAGAUGAUGGCAUGUCACUUAUGAAUUGCAUGUGAUGUUAAUCCUUUUAUGCACCUUAUUUUGCUUAGAACGACGGUAGUAUUAUAAGGGGAUCUCUUACUAAAAUUUCAAGAUGAAAUUGUGUCUCCCCGACUGUGCACCGUUGCGACAGUUCAUCAUUUCGAGACACCACGUGAUGAUCGGGUGUGAUAGACUCAACGUUCACAUACAACGGGUCCAAAACAGUUGCACAAGCGGAACACUCGGGUUAAACUUGACAAGCCUAGAAUGUGCAGACAUGGCCUCGGAACACAUGAGACCGAAAGGUCGAGCAUGAAUCGUAUAGUUGAUAUGAUUAGCAUAGAGAUGCUUACCACUGAAACUAUUCUCAACUCACGUGAUGAUCGGACUUGAGUUAGUGAAUUUGGAUCAUGUACCACUCAAAUGACUAGAGAGAUGUACUUUUUGAGUGGGAGUUUAUCAGUAAUUUGAUUAGUUAAACUCUAAUUAUCUUAAACAUAGUCUAAGUUCACUUUGCAAUAUUUGUGUUGUAGAUCAAUGGCUCACGCAGUAGCAACCCUGAAUUUUAAUACGUUCCUAGAGAAAGCUAAGUUCAAAGAUGAUGGAAGCAACUUUGUAGACUAGGCUCGUAAUCUAAAGUUGCACCUGCAAGCUGGGAAGAAGGAUUAUGUCCUUAAUGUUGCGCUAGGAGAUGAACCACCCGCUAUGUCUAGCCAAGAUGUUUUGAACGCCUGGUUAACACGUAAGGAGGACUACUCAAAAGUUCAAUCUGUAGUCUUGUAUGGCUUGGAACCGGGACUUCAAUGUCGCUUUGAGCAUCAUGGAGCAUAUGAGAUGUUCCAGGAGUUGAAGUUUAUCUUUCAUAAGAACGCCCAGAUCGAGAGGUAUGAGACCUCCGAUAAAUUCUAUGCUUGCAAGAUGGAGGAGAAUUCGUAUGUCAGUGAACAUGUGCUCAAAAUGUUUGGGUACUCAAAUCGUCUAGCUGAGCUGGGGAUUGAACUCCCGCAAGAGGCUAUCACUGACAAAAUUCUUCAAUCAUUGCCACCUAGCUAUAAGAGCUUUGGGUUGAACUAUAACAUGCAAUGGAUGAACAAGUCACCUGACGAGUUAUUCGCGAUGCUGAAAGUCGCAGAGGCGGAACUCCGAAAAGAGCAUCAAGUGUUGAUGGUCAAUAAGACCACUGGUUUCAAGAGAAACGGCAAAGGCAAGAAGGGUAACUCCAAGAAGAGUGGCAAGCGUGUUGCCAAUCCGACGAAGAAACCCAAGGCUGGACCUAAUCCUGAAACAGAGUGUUAUUAUUGGGAAUGGGUCACUGGAAGCGCAACUGCCCCAAGUAUUUGGCUGAUAAGAAUGCGGCCAAGGAAAAAUUAGGUAUAUUUGAUAUACAUGUUAUUGAAGUGUACUUAACCAACUCUCGUAGUAGUGCAUGGGUAUUUGAUACCGGUUCUGUUGCUCAUAUUUGCAACUCGAAGCAGGAACUGCGGAAUAAACGAAGGCUGGCGAAGGAUGAAGUGACGAUGCGCGUGGGAAAUGGUUCCAAGGUUGAUGCAAUCGCCGUUGGCAUAGUCUCACUUCAGUUACCAUCAGGAUUAGUUAUGAACUUAAAUAAUUGUUAUUUAGUGUCUGUGUUAAGCAUGAACAUUAUAUUUGGAUCUUGUUUAUUGCACCGUCCGGGAAUCGCAGGGGCGGCGAGAGAGUUUGGUUGUGGAUGUGAUGAUGGCGGGGGUGAGCUUGGAUUGUGUUAUUCAUUAUCUCUUCAUAGGUUGCAGGCUUCGAGGGUCCGUGACGUGGUCGCCGGAGCGAGAGGGUAUCGGGUUCCCCUCUACGAUGCCAACGGUAUACCUUUUGGUAGGAGCCAUGUGCUUUGGAGAUUCAAGUUCUCGCGUUUGACCUGCUCAUAGUUGUGCCCCUUGCUUCUGUGACUAUGACCGGUAGCUCUCGCCCUUCGGUGUGUCUACGCCACAGACGACGACGAUGCUCGUGAGUACCGUGUCCCGGGCUUGUGGGUGUGCUCUACUUACUUCUUCCUAUUCAGCUUGGAUGCCAACCAUUUGGGUUCUAGGGUGAACCAAGCUGUCGGAUGUCGGUGCUGCAUCCUUUGAGCCAGGAUGAAAGGGAAGGUUCCCUUUGCAGCGGCGGUAACAAAUGGUGGUCUGGUCCAUUUCUGUCUUCGAGGGUGGUUGUGAUCACGAAGCUUGCGCGAUUAUGCAUUCUUCCCUAGCACAGAGUUUAGUUUUGUUGGUGUAGGUCGUCCUGUAGGAUGUUAGCUGCAGUGUGGUGAUGUUUCGGCCCGCUUUUGUUGUUGCCUUCAGUAGUUGUGGCCUUUAUGAACUUGUGGCGUUUCAUGGCCGCAAAAUCUAAGUACUGAAUAGGAAGAAUAGGGUCACUAGACUGCGAUGACACACUACACUUAGAUAAACGGGAGGCAUAAAUCCUGCCAUAAAAAUGGCCGCUGUCAGAGUUGCAUUGCAAUGUGCAUGCUAGGAUUGCUCCAAGAUUAUAGCAUUUAAUUACAGUUAGCACAAUAUGUAGGAGACUCAAGUCUGGGGCACAUAAGGUACUACAAUCCUGCUUGCCCACUAUGCAUUUUCCAUUAAAGAGUGCAAGGUAACAAAUUGAAGGAGUAUGCAUGCUAUUUAUUCUACCUUUAGUUACUCCCCUAUCCUCACUAAAGCAAAGACUAGUUAAAAAUGCAUCAUAUUUGGAUUUUGGUGGUUCGCCUAGAGAACCCCAAGAUGGAAUUUUACAUGCAUGAGAUAAAUCAUCUAGAGACAAGGUGAAGGCAUUAUCAUAGAGGUUAAAGGAGACUCUAAAUCUUCGAGGAUAAAAUUUAAACCCCUUAGUGAAAGUUUUGGUAUGAUAAUGUUGCGCGCACUUAUCUGAGAUGAAGGGUGCGAGAUCAGUAUUAUGAAUGUAUUGUUCAAACUCUUCCCUAAUGCCCGCGCACAACAUGAAGCCAUCACUUGGCCAAAGGCACGAUUUGGUGUGGGCUUCUCGCAUCAAGCUUUCACUUGGCUCAGCAUAAGACCGUUGUAUCGGAGCCUCACUCGAAGAUGCCUCCGAGGACUUCCUCCUCAAAGAAUUCCUCUUGAACCAUCUCAUUAUUCCUAUGUACAAAUUUUUGAAUUUUUUGGGUCACAACAUAAAGUUAACAAAACUUCACAAGAAUGAUUGCAACUACUCAUAAGGAUGCCUAGAGCCUAAAACAAGCAUUCAAACUACUUGGAACUUCAAGAAUUUGACAUGCAAGCUCAUCUACAGCAGCACCUAGAGUAUCUAAUUACUUCUUAGAUAAACUACUAAAUCAAGAACUAAUUCGAGGAGUGGGGAAGUUUCAUACCAAGGAGUAAUCCCCCAAAACAGUUUCAGAAAUGGAGUUUCGAGCAAAGAGAUCAAAACCCGCGAGUUUGAGAGCAAGAACACGGGAGAGAGAGAUACAAGGAUUUUUCGUGGAGGUAGGUCAUGAAGUGAGCUGAAGGGAUAAGUGAGGGGACCCCGAGGGGUCCACUACCCACUAGGGCGCGCCUCGUGGGGGUGGCGCGCCUCGUGGGGGUGGCGCGCCCUGGUGUCUAGUGGACACCUCGGACACCCCCCCUGUGAUGUUUUUAGUGCCACAUAUUCUCAAAUAUUCAGAAAAAAAAUCAUGUGAAAGUUUCAGGUCAUUUGGAGAACUUUUAUUUUGGGCACUUUUUAUUGCACAAAAGAUUUUAAAAAAAAGAUAAGCAUGGCAUUUAUUGUAUUUAAAUAAAAAUAACAUGAAAAUAAAGUGGGUAUAGAAAGUUGUGCCUACUAAAUUCAUCGACCUCAUGCCUCUCGAAAAUGAUCCAUUAACAAGGUUGAUCAAGUCUUAUUAACAACCACUUCCAAUUAGCAUGAACCCGAAGAAUUUUCGUAAAACACUAAGUUACCUCAACGGGGAUGUGCAUAUCCCCAACAAUAAGUAUUUCAUAUUUAUUUUUGGUUGUAGGUAGAGGUAGUUGAAAACUUCCAUUGGUUAUAGUCGGAGAUUUUUCAAUAACAUUAACACCAUUCACUUGGAAUUGUUUCCUCGGAAAAUGCACUGUAUGUUCUUUACCAUUGACAUGUUAAGUGACUUUGCUUUUAUUGCAAUCAAUAAUAUCCCGUGUAGUAUUUAAGAAAGGUCUACGAAGGAUAAUCGACAUGUUGUCAUCCUCAUGCAUAUCAAGUAUAACAAAGUCUGUCAAGAUAGUAACAUUUGCAACAACAACGGGUACAUCCUCACAAAUACCAAUAGGUAUGGCACUUGAUUUGUCACCCAUUUGCAAUGAAAUUUCAGUAGGUGUGAGUUUAUUCAAGUCAAGUCUUUUGAAUAAAGAGACAUGCAUAAUACUAACACCACCUCCUAGAUCACAUAAAGCAGUUUUCACAUAGUUUCUUUUGAUGGAACAUGGUACAGUUGGUAUUCCUGGAUCUCCUAGUUUUUUUGGUACUCCAUCCUUAAAAUAGUAAUUAGCAAGCAUGAUGUAGAUUUGAGAUUCAAGUAUUUUCCUUUUAUUAGUGAUGAUACCUUUCAUAUACUUAGCAUAAGGGGGCAUAUUUAAAAGAUCAGUUAAACGAGUACGCAAAAGACUGGCUUAAGCAUUUCAGCAAAGCGUUCAAAUUCUUCAUCAUCUUUUUUCUUAGUUGGUUUAGGUGGAUAAGGCAUGCAUUUUUGAACCCAUGGCUCUCUUUCUUUGACAUGCUUUCUAGCAAAAAAAUCUCUUAGGUUGUGGGUUAUCAAGAUCAACAAUAGGGUUUGUCUCAACAUCAUUAUCUGGUUCUUUAUCAUUAUUAGGUUGAGCAUGUACAUGAGCAUCAUCAUUAUCAUUUUCAUUAUCACUAGGUGAAUGCUCACUACCAUAUUGAGUUUCAGCAUCACAAAUAGAGAUAUCAUUUGCAUUAUCAGAAGGUUUUUCCGCUUCAGGUUCACUAGAAGUAUGCAAGAUCCUAUCAUUUUUCUUUUUAUUUUUCCUCCUAGAAGGACUAGGUGUAUCAAUAUUAAUUCUUUGUAAAUCUUGUUCAUUUCUUUUAGGAUGGCCUUCUGGAUAUAGUGGAUCUUGAGUCAUUGUUCCUCCUCUAGUCAUUACUCUAACAACAUGAUCAUUCAUAUUAUUAUUCAUUUCAUGAAGUAGCUCACUUUGGGAUUUAGCAACUUGUUAUAGUUGGGUUUGAACCAUAGAAGCAUGUGAAAAGGACGUGGAUGUCGCCUAGAGGGGGGGUGAAUAGGCGCUUUAAAAUAGUUAAGGUUUAGGCUUGAACAAAUGCGGAAUAAAACUAACGUUUAAUAUGUCAAGCACAAAACCCAAAAAACAACUAGGCUCACCUAUGUGCACCAACAACUUAUGCUAAGCAAGAUAAACAACUAAGUGAUAGCAAGAUAUAUUACAAUAAACAAUAUGUCUAUCACAAAGUAAAGUGCAUAAGUAAAUGGUUCGGGUAAGAGAUAACCGAGGCACGGGGAGACGAUGAUGUAUCCCAAAGUUCACACCCUUGCGGAUGCUAAUCUCCGUUAGAGCGGUGUGGAGGCACAAUGCUCCCCAAGAUGCCACUAAGGCCACCGUAAUCUCCUCACGCCCUCGCACAAUGCAAGGUGCCGUAAUUCCACUAAGGGACCCUUGAGGGCGGUCACCGAACCCGUACAAAUGGCAACCCUUGGGGGUGGUCACCGAACCCGUACAUGUGGCAACCCUUGGGGGCGGUUACCGGUACCCGUACAAAUUGCUCGGGGCAAUAUCCACAACCUAAUUGGAGACCCCGACGCUUCCCGGAGCUUCACACCACACUGAUUGAGCUCCGAGACACCACCAAGCUUCUAGGACGCCAAAGCAUCCACGAAGAACAAUAUCAAGGGUACUAAGUACCAAAGGUAGCAAGCUUCUCAACUUCUCACUUCCACGUAUCACCGUGGAGAACUCAAACCGAUGCAACUAAUGCAAUGGCAAGAACACACGAAGUGGUCAAGUCCCUCACACUCAAAUCCCUCCACAACACCAAAAGCUAUGGAGAAAUAUGAGAGGAAGAACAAGGAGCUCACAAAGAACUCCAAGAUCAAGAUCCAAGGGGUUCCCCUCACAUAGAGGAGAAAGUGAUUGGUGGAGAUGUGGAUCUAGAUCUCCUCUCUCUUUUCCCUCAAGAACAAGCAAGAAUCAUUGGAGGGAUAGAGAGUAAUCAAGCUCUAAGAAUGUCAACAAUGGAGGUAGAACAAGAGCUCAACGGAUGGAUAAGACCAAGGGGGAAGAAGACCCCCUUUAUAUAGUGGGGGAAAGAAUCAGACUGUUACCCCCACUCUCUGCCCGAGCUCCAGCGGUACUACCGCUGGCUGCAGCGGUACUAGUGGGGGAAAGAAUCAGACUGUUACCCCCACUCUCUGCCCGAGCUCCAGCGGUACUACCGCUGGCUGCAGCGGUACUACCGCUGGCACUCCAGCGGUACUACCGCCAGCUAGCGGUACUACCGCUGGCUGCAGCGGUACUACCGAUGGCACUCCAGCGGUACUACCGCUGGCCCCAGCGGUACUACCGCUGGGCCCCUGGUAGUGCAAGGGCACUACCACCGCGAAGAAAGUCUUCACAAAAAGGUCCGUCCACGAACAACCGCUAGGCAGGCGGUACUAAGAUCCUGGAGCGGUACUACCGUUGACCAGGGGCGGUACUACCGCUAGGGCCAGCGGUACUACCGCCAACUCUAGCGGUACUACCGCUAGGUCCAGCGGUACUACCGCUCGCCACUGAAACAACCAUAACUUUUGCAUACGAGCUCCGAAUCGAGCAAACCCAAGCUUGUUGGAUUCAGGACGACAAGGGCUAUCCAAACAGCGACCCAAGCUUGUUNNNNNNNNNNNNNNNNNNNNNNNNNNNNNNNNNNNNNNNNNNNNNNNNNNNNNNNNNNNNNNNNNNNNNNNNNNNNNNNNNNNNNNNNNNNNNNNNNNNNGGAUGGGAGGGGGGGGGGAGGGCGCGACGACGACGGCUAGGGUUAUCGCCUUAGAGGAGACGACGCGGGGAGGGGUGAGGGGAGUGUGUGAAUCACCAUCAUUAGCAAUGACAUAUGUGACACAUUAGUAAAAGAAUAAAAUCCACACCCGCCUUUCUUUUUUUUGAGCCGGUGUGCUCGUCGCCGUGGCACCACCUAUUUCUGCUCCGGGCGAAGUGGCUGUGCACGAGUCCAUCACGUCACGUCACGCACGCGGGGCGCGCGGCCAGGCUGUGCUGGGAGCUUCGUCCCCCUCCACUCCCGUCAGCUCCCCCGGCCCUCCCCCCGCCCCGCCCCGCCCCGCCCCCACUCCGCCGCCGACGUAAGCACCACCCAGCAGCCUCCCCUCCCCUCAAGAUCCAAGCCACGCUCGCCCGCUCGCCCCGCGCAAUGCCCCGCUCCUGACCAUGUCCUCGCUCUCGAUCCCGCCUCCGCUCCUGCGCUCCUCGCCGUCUCCGUCUCCACCCGCGAAUUGGAGGAGGCGCGCGGCGCGCGUGCGGGUGCGCGCUCCGGUGGCGGCACUGGCCGGCGACGGCGGGUGCGCGGGGACCGGGAUGGAGCAGCAGCACCUCCAGGCAGGGAGCGCCUCCGGCAGCCCAG
Molecule: long non-coding RNA, 18803 nt
Filed under: Hordeum vulgare
Lineage: Eukaryota; Viridiplantae; Streptophyta; Magnoliopsida; Poales; Poaceae
Description: long non-coding RNA (HVUL_LNC010886)
Source: RNAcentral